AGACAGGAGAGAGCAAGUUCAUUUUGAAACUGUGCUUCCCUGAUCUACUUCAGUCAAUAGGAUCGUUCUAAGAAGACAGAGAAGACGACCUUGGAAAAAAUAGAUGGAGCAUCGCUACUAUGCAUUAUAGCCCACUGAUAAGGCAGGAAGUUGUGGCUGAGAGAUACUACCUCCUUCCCAUCUCCAAAGGCGUGUUUAGGAGCUUCCGAAUAGAUUAUGUUCAUACUAGGGAUGGCAUGAGGAUGCUACCUAAAGCAGUCUUCUACUGAUCCUGAGAAGAUUAUUGUGUCAACUGGUUGUGAGGUUCCUGGACUUAGUCUGCUCUACAGAUCCCCAUCUCUUCAAGAAGACCUCAGCCCCAUUUGGAAGCACAAAUGAGAUCUCAGCUGGGGUGAGCUGAUCUUUGCUGUGCCACUGCUCUUUUCUCUGAACUUGGGAGACAUGACAUCUCACCAGCUCUUUUGGAGCAAGUUUUGACUUUCACAGGUUUGGCAUUUCUGGUCCAUCUAGAUAUUUGAAAAUCUUUCCACUUUUGAAAGUUGCCUUUACUUCAGAACAGAACACAGACAGAAGCUUGGCUGAUUCACUUUAUUGUAAUUCAAGUUUCAGUGAGUGGUGAAACUGAAAUAAGAAAAAUCAGUUUAAAACUGACUUUCUCUUGGCCUGUGACCUUGGUAUCAUCUUUGUCUUCACUUUCAAUUAUACUAGUAAAAGAAAAAAAAAAAGAUUUGAGCAGCAGCACUUCAAAAUACAUGUUUUUUAAGAGUCUGCAAUUGUUAGACAUCCUUCAUUUCAGGCCUACAGAUGUUCAAGUUGUAUGAAAGUCCUGUUAGGGAAAAGAAAUGAGAUUUUAUGCUAAACAGGAAAAAAGAAGACAUAUCAGAAAUUAAAUAAAGUUAUAAGGUGUAAGAGAAGAAUUAUUCAGGAGAGUGGGAUUUUCUGUUUAAUGAGUUAGCACAACUAAAUCCAUUUCAAAAGAAAAAGGAUAUUGAAGCAGGUGAUUCCUUUAUUGUGUGUGACAUUUACUCUGUGCUGUCCUUUUCUGUAGAUCUAGUAAGACUUGUAACUGUAUGUUUAAUGUGAAGCGCAAAAGUAGUUCUAGGGGCUAUUGCCACUAGUAUUGAACACAGACCUCAGAAAUGAGAGUUGUAAUGAGACAGCAGAAUGCCCUAAGGUCUUGUUUAAAAAUGGUGUUUUCUCCAUUACCUUGGGCACUUAUGUAUUACUAGAUAUCACAGGCUGUGCAGAAGCUAUUUCAUUAAAGGUAAUGAUCACACUCUGCUUCUCUGCCAUAGGUGGCAGCAUGGGCUGUCACUUAAAUAAGCAGAUUUGGAGAAAGAGGGACAUACAAUUAAAGAGAGCUGGUGUAGUAACAUGUUAAUGUUGUGCUGGAAUCACCAGGGGAUGUCAACAAGAUGCAUCUCAACUAUAAUAUAGCUUAAAUCUGUGGUUUCUAGGUGGAGAGGGUAGGCUUUUUGCCCUGUGAAAUAAAGUAGACAUAUGGGUGCCUUUAAAUAACAAUUUCUGAAAUGUGAAGAUGUAUCUGGGGGAACAAGGGAGAACUACUAUUUCUCAUGAAACUACAGAGGUAUAUGGAAUAUUGUUAUGUCUUCAAUAGGUAGAUUUUUGCAAGUGCGCUUGCAAUCAGAUAGCAUUAGGUAAUCAGAGAAAGAACAAAAAUAUAAUUAUAGAAAUCAUAAAUCUGAAGGAAUUCUAAAAAAUGUACUGGCUCUUUCCACAAAUUUGAGAUUAGACAGAAGAGAUAAUUAAUGAGGGAUUUCAAAUAAAAGCUCUUCACUUUUCAUUGUCGUACUUUUAAUAUUCAAUUUUUCUAUGAGCUUUUAUGACCUUUUUGUUUCAUUGAGAACUUAAAAACUUGUGCUGUAUUGUGUCUGUUAAUAAAACAAGGCCACUAACACAA
Numida meleagris (helmeted guineafowl) is the source of this 1921-nucleotide long non-coding RNA. RefSeq lists it as uncharacterized. Lineage: Eukaryota; Metazoa; Chordata; Aves; Galliformes; Numididae. The transcript has 3 exons. The record is from RefSeq and is a predicted model, not a curated record.